GACGAACGCUGGCGGCGCGCUUAACACAUGCAAGUCGAGCGAUGAAAUCUUGACAGAUCCCUUCGGGGUGAAGAUAAGAUGGAUUAGCGGCGGACGGGUGAGUAACACGUGAGUAACCUGCCUUAGACAUUGGGAUAGCCUCGGGAAACCGGGAUUAAUGCCAAAUGAAAUCAUAGGUGCCCAUGCACUAAUGAUCAAAGCUCCGGUGGUCUAAGAUGGACUCGCGUCCCAUUAGCUAGUUGGUGAGGUAACGGCCCACCAAGGCGACGAUGGGUAGCCGGCCUGAGAGGGUGAACGGCCGCAUUGGAACUGAGAAACGGUCCAAACUCCUACGGGAGGCAGCAGUGGGGAAUAUUGCACAAUGGAGGGAACUCUGAUGCAGCGACGCCGCGUGAACGAUGAAGGCUUUCGAGUCGUAAAGUUCUUUUAUAUGGGAAGAUAAUGACGGUACCAUAAGAAAAAGCCCCGGCUAACUACGUGCCAGCAGCCGCGGUAAUACGUAGGGGGCUAGCGUUGUCCGGAAUCACUGGGCGUAAAGGGUUCGCAGGCGGAAAUGCAAGUCAGAUGUAAAAGACAGUAGCUUAACUACUGUAAGCAUUUGAAACUGCAUAUCAUGAGAAGAGUAGAGGUAAGUGGAAUUUUUAGUGUAGCGGUGAAAUGCGUAGAUAUUAAAAAGAAUACCGGUGGCGAAGGCGACUUACUGGGCUCAUUCUGACGCUGAGGAACGAAAGCGUGGGUAGCAAACAGGAUUAGAUACCCUGGUAGUCCACGCUGUAAACGAUGAGUGCUAGGUAUCGGAAUAAUUCGGUGCCGCAGUUAACACAUUAAGCACUCCGCCUGGGGAGUACGUGCGCAAGCAUG
RNAcentral lists this ribosomal RNA (861 nucleotides) under uncultured Clostridia bacterium. Its description in RNAcentral is "bacterial SSU rRNA". It matches the Rfam family "Bacterial small subunit ribosomal RNA", at positions 28 to 896 of the family's 1533-position model. Lineage: Bacteria; Bacillati; Bacillota; Clostridia. The record is from RNAcentral.